AUUAACGACGCUAAAUAUCUGCUCUUCAGCUGCAUGCAAAAGUUUAGUUGCUCUGUCGAACGUACGUAACGUUCAUUUAUCGCCGGCUCCGUAGAUACAUUUUCGGCAUGUGAAGAUAUAAAUCGGAAACAAAAAGUGGUAAGGGUCCGCUGUAAACAUAUUAUAUCGCAAUAUUCUUCAUCAGUCUACAGCUGAAAACUGUUAUCAAUUGAAACUAACAUCAUAGUUUUUCCUAAUUUGGGAAAAUGUCGAAAAAGCGAGCAAAAAACUUUACUAAAGAAGAUGUUAAUCUUUUUGCUGCUCUCGUUAUGAAUUAUAAGCAUAUCAUUGAAAAUAAAAAAAACAGACGCAGUAACUGUGCAAGCAAAGAAGGAAGCUUGGGAAAAAAUAUCUGUGGAAUUCUCUGCGUCUGCAUCCAGUCCACGCAAUGCCGAGCAAUUAAAGAUCUUUUACAAAAAAACAAAGUCUUCUGUAAAAAAGGACUUGGCCGCGGACAAGGCGGAAAGGUAUAGAACCGGCGGAGGCGCACCAUCGCACACACUCCAGUAUGAUCAUCCUCUGUUAAAAGUGGUGGCUCCAGAGGUCCGACCACUUUCGAACCCUUUCGACAGCAGUAGCAUUUAUUUCAAUGAGUUGCCAAAUACUGAAAUGGUGGAUUAUGAUGAACCAACGGCUAUUUGUGAAAUAACUUGCCAAGGAAGUCAGCAGCUCUUGAUAAACGGUGGAAGCAUAAUAAGCGAUGAAGAAACUAGCUUAGCUGAUCUUCCAGAUGAGUCGCAGCGACCGGAUGGUUGUAACGAUGACAGAAAUCAAGGAUCUAGUCAAAACCCGUUGGUCACGCAAAUCUCGGUUGAAGGAAUCGAAGUUUCCGGUAAUGGUAAUGCAUUCUGUACUAGAAAUGGGUGAUCAGAUAUAAACGAGCCCAGCGUUAUACAUAACGAGCAGAGACACGAUGUUGUUCGAAACAACAAACGUCAGCGUGUGAAUUUCAACACGCUCCGAGAAUAUGUCAGCGACUACUCUGAACAGAAAAAAAGAAAACUUGAUCUACAAAUUGAGCUUCUGGAAAUGCAGAAGGAAAAAGUUCGACUCGAGAUUAGAAAAUUAAUAGGAAAUACGGACGAUGAAAACUAGUAGUAAGUUUUUAAGUUCUAUUACUCCCUAAGCGUUAUUUUUUCUAUUCAAUUGAUCUUGAUUAAGUAGUUUACUGUUAUAUAUA
Topomyia yanbarensis is the source of this 1219-nucleotide long non-coding RNA. RefSeq lists it as uncharacterized. Lineage: Eukaryota; Metazoa; Arthropoda; Insecta; Diptera; Culicidae. The transcript is spliced from 4 exons. The record is from RefSeq and is a predicted model, not a curated record.